CAGCAGCCGCGGGAAUACGUAGGGUGCGAGCGUUAAUCGGAAUUACUGGGCGUAAAGCGUGCGCAGGCGGUUGUGUAAGACAGGUGUGAAAUCCCCGGGCUUAACCUGGGAAUGGCAGUGGAUACUGGCUCGCUAGAGUGUGUCAGAGGAUGGUGGAAUUCCCGGUGUAGCGGUGAAAUGCGUAGAGAUCGGGAGGAACAUCAGUGGCGAAGGCGGCCAUCUGGGACAACACUGACGCUGAGGCACGAAAGCGUGGGGAGCAAACAGGAUUAGAUACCCCGGUAGUCCCUGUCUCUUAUAC
This 301-nucleotide ribosomal RNA is filed under the name uncultured bacterium. RNAcentral describes it as "partial 16S ribosomal RNA". It matches the Rfam family "Bacterial small subunit ribosomal RNA", at positions 509 to 807 of the family's 1533-position model. The record is from RNAcentral.